This 760-nucleotide ribosomal RNA is filed under the name Streptomyces sp. S1n19. Its description in RNAcentral is "bacterial SSU rRNA". It matches the Rfam family "Bacterial small subunit ribosomal RNA", at positions 117 to 890 of the family's 1533-position model. RNAcentral also lists the same sequence under 2 other names. The record is from RNAcentral. Lineage: Bacteria; Bacillati; Actinomycetota; Actinomycetes; Kitasatosporales; Streptomycetaceae.
GUGGGCAAUCUGCCCUUCACUCUGGGACAAGCCCUGGAAACGGGGUCUAAUACCGGAUACACUCUGUCCCGCAUGGGACGGGGUUGAAAGCUCCGGCGGUGAAGGAUGAGCCCGCGGCCUAUCAGCUUGUUGGUGGGGUGAUGGCCUACCAAGGCGACGACGGGUAGCCGGCCUGAGAGGGCGACCGGCCACACUGGGACUGAGACACGGCCCAGACUCCUACGGGAGGCAGCAGUGGGGAAUAUUGCACAAUGGGCGAAAGCCUGAUGCAGCGACGCCGCGUGAGGGAUGACGGCCUUCGGGUUGUAAACCUCUUUCAGCAGGGAAGAAGCGAGAGUGACGGUACCUGCAGAAGAAGCGCCGGCUAACUACGUGCCAGCAGCCGCGGUAAUACGUAGGGCGCAAGCGUUGUCCGGAAUUAUUGGGCGUAAAGAGCUCGUAGGCGGCUUGUUGCGUCGGUUGUGAAAGCCCGGGGCUUAACCCCGGGUCUGCAGUCGAUACGGGCAGGCUAGAGUGUGGUAGGGGAGAUCGGAAUUCCUGGUGUAGCGGUGAAAUGCGCAGAUAUCAGGAGGAACACCGGUGGCGAAGGCGGAUCUCUGGGCCAUUACUGACGCUGAGGAGCGAAAGCGUGGGGAGCGAACAGGAUUAGAUACCCUGGUAGUCCACGCCGUAAACGUUGGGAACUAGGUGUUGGCGACAUUCCACGUCGUCGGUGCCGCAGCUAACGCAUUAAGUUCCCCGCCUGGGGAGUACGGCCGCA